CGGCCCUUGAGGCCUGGAGUUGGAGACCCCUGCUCUAAAGUAAAGAGGGAAGGAAAUACUUGUUUUCACUCCAAGCUAAUGCAACUGGAGGAAAGCCAAAUUCUUCAGAGAGGCCAGAUAUGAGUUACUUUGCAUUCCAGUCUGUUUUGAGGUGGACAGGUGGGUGGAGGCACGUGACUCUUCUGCUGACAGAUCACAACAAGAUGUGAGAAAAAUUCGGCGUGAUCAAGAAAAACUAUCAAAAGAUCCCAGUGAGAAUUUUUUGAAAAACACCAGAAAUAAGCAAAACUGGGACAGAGUGGGGUCUGUAUUAACCCCGCCCCUCUUAUUUUGGCCUGGAAUAGAACAGGUGGAGGAAGGAGGGGGCAGUUUGCAGCAGGAGACCAGAGAAAGAAAUGAAGGAAACGGGAAGGAAAUGACGAAGGCUUGCUCUCUGAAACAGCUAAGCUGCCACUCUCUCUUUAUCAUCCUGUAUGGAAACCUGGAAAAACACACAAACACAUAGGGUGUUGUUGUUGACUGCCAUACAAAACACAGGAUCUCAGGCACAGGAUGAUAAACAAAGAACAUGGAGAGCAAAUAGAAUUGAAGAGGACACAAUCAAAGAGACAACAGGAAAAAAAGGCAGACUGUUGUGCCGAUGGAUUACAAGUGGGGGAAAAAAAGAGUCACAAAGAAAUGGCAAAACAAAGAAGAAAGUUAAACACCAGAAAUGGUAAAUAACUGUUUUUGAUACUUGUAUUUUCUACGCACAAAACCCACAGCAGCUGAUCACUUCAAUAAUUUCGUCUUUCUUUUAUUCAGAACUCAUUUUGUCAAAGUCUGCAUCUCAUUUUUCAAACAGCUGUCACCUCCUUCUGCAAGCAACCGUAGGAAGCCAGUUAUUCCACACUGAUAACCCGGAGGCCAGCAAGCACGACUGGCGACAUAAAUAUGGCUGUCGCCGUCACAACACGACAGGCUGGGAUCAAACAGCACCCGGAGAUGUUUCCUAUUGUUUGCCCGAACAGGCCUGCAGCCCGAGAUCAACAGUUAGAAUUUCUCGUUGACCUUCGUGAUCGAGAGAAGGAUGAUUCAUCUGCAGAAGCCGACACAAAAACAAGACAGGAAUGCUACAGGAAGGGCAAAGGUCACUGCAAGAAUGCCACUGGCUUGUUUGUUAUCAUACUUUUGCAUAAAUGUGCUUUACACAACGUUUCUUAAGCAAACACACACACUUGACGGUUUCUGAAAUUGGAAUAAUCUCAUUACUUUAUAUGUGUUUAAGGUGUGUUAGAUCCUGUACAUAAAAUGUUGAACUGUUACCCAAGGGUUUGUAAAGCCUUUCAGCUUAAUGACUGCUUUAACGUACUUAGCAGGAG
This is a long non-coding RNA of Oreochromis aureus, 1361 nucleotides long. Lineage: Eukaryota; Metazoa; Chordata; Actinopteri; Cichliformes; Cichlidae. The record is from Ensembl.